GAUGAACGCUGGCGGCGUGCUUAACACAUGCAAGUCGAACGAGGCAUUUGCGACAGAUUUUUUCGGAAUGAAGUUGCUUAUGACUGAGUGGCGGACGGGUGAGUAACGCGUGGGUAACCUGCCUUGUACUGGGGGAUAGCAGCUGGAAACGGCUGGUAAUACCGCAUAAGCGCACAAUGUUGCAUGACAUGGUGUGAAAAACUCCGGUGGUAUAAGAUGGACCCGCGUCUGAUUAGCUAGUUGGUGAGAUAACAGCCCACCAAGGCGACGAUCAGUAGCCGACCUGAGAGGGUGACCGGCCACAUUGGGACUGAGACACGGCCCAGACUCCUACGGGAGGCAGCAGUGGGGAAUAUUGCACAAUGGAGGAAACUCUGAUGCAGCGACGCCGCGUGAGUGAAGAAGUAAUUCGUUAUGUAAAGCUCUAUCAGCAGGGAAGAUAGUGACGGUACCUGACUAAGAAGCUCCGGCUAAAUACGU
Molecule: ribosomal RNA, 480 nt
Filed under: uncultured bacterium
Lineage: Bacteria
Description: partial 16S ribosomal RNA
Rfam family: Bacterial small subunit ribosomal RNA
Source: RNAcentral